GAGAGAGAGAGAGAGGGAGAAAGAAAAUAGAAAAAUUAACAAAAAUCUUACGUAAAACCACAAAAGGUAAAGAUUUAAUAGUACUGCUGAUUGAAUCCAGUAAAUUAUAGAUAUUGUAGGAAUGAGAAGUUAAAGAAAUAACUGCUCCAGGUGAAAGUAUCUCCAAGUCAGGUUCUUUGUCCUACGGCAUUGGGCCUUGCAGGAAAGCAUAAAAACUGCAAAUUAAUAAUAUCACAUAGGAGCACCUGGGCAGGGGUUAAAUCA
This 264-nucleotide unclassified non-coding RNA is filed under the name Hevea brasiliensis (rubber tree). Lineage: Eukaryota; Viridiplantae; Streptophyta; Magnoliopsida; Malpighiales; Euphorbiaceae. The record is from RNAcentral.